GUGGGGCGCUGACGCGCUCCUCCCCGGAGCGUAUGGCAGCGCAGCGCCGGACGGGGCGUUCUCCCUCCCCCCCUCCUCUCGCUUCCAUCUCCGCCGUCUCCUCGGUCUCCCUUCCCAUCCCGGCCCCUCCUCCGCCAGCCGCGUCCUCCCGGGCUUGGUGAGGAACUGUUCCUGGAGGAGCCGCGGGACGCCAAAACCAGCCAAUGGGAAGCGGCGAUUCGCGGAGAUUGGCACUGAUGAUGGGAAGGAAUAUUGAUCUCAGCGUUACUUUGACCAUUAAUGAAUUAUGAUGGCAAUAAGCAAAGAUUCGCACCUCUAGCCUCCGGGGAGCUUAAUCUUCUGCUACAACAUUUGCAUUUGGUGUCUCUCUACUGCUCAGGCUGGAGUGCAGUGGUGCGAUCAUAGCUCACUGCAGCCUCGACUUCCUGGGCUCAGGUGACCCUCUCGCCUGAAACCAUAUUCCCCCUCAAGUAGCUGAGACUACAGAGACAAGGUCUCACUAUGUUGCCUAGGCUGGUCUUCAACUCCUGGCCUGAAGUUAUCCUCUCAUCUUGGACUGCCAAAGUGCUGGGAUUUGGCACCACUGAGCCAAAUCCCAGGCGUGAGCCACUGAGCCUGGGCUGUUCUUCCUUCUUUAUAGGCUUAAAAACCUUCAAAAAUUAUCUCAAGAUUAUCCACUCCAGGAAGAACUUGAGCCUCAUUGAUUGAAUUGGUGUACUUCUCCUCCCUUCCUAUAGCAUUUUCUUUAUGUGUCUAUCCUAGCACUUCUCACACAGUGUUGAAUUCAUCUGUCCACCUGGCUCAUCAUACAAAUUGUUCCAUGAGUUCAAGGAUCAUGCUGCAUGCUGGAUUCCCCCGGAAGCUGAUUCUGAGAUGGAGUUUAGUGUACUAAAUAUUUAUGUGGGCCUUUGGAUCAUCACCUGUGAAAAGGAAGAGAAGGAAGCAGGAGUGGACCUAGGGUGAAGUGAAGCUCUGAUGCAAACCUGACAACUGCCUCACCUGACACCAUGAAGAGCUCUGGAGCUAGAAUGGCCUUUUGUUGUUCUGAAUUGGUGUGAGGUAGCUAGGUCUUUACACCCCUGCCACCACCCAUUAUUGGGUAUGGGCCAACCAGGAAGGGGCAUGACCAUGAGUGAUGCAGCUCUGCAGCUGAAGCAAUAACUGAAGAGGCUGACAGCUGAGGGCCAUCUGCUGACAGUACUCCCUGCAGCUGGGCAGCACAUCCUUUCUCAAAAGGGGAUCAAGGCAGUUGCAUCUCCGUGUCCACCAUGGACUAUAUAUUUUUUCUUUGCAUUCCUAGGGCCUCCCAUAGUAUAUGGCACAUAGUAGGCAAAACUGGAGGUCUGUAGGGCAAAUUCAGCUAGUAGAUGAGUAUUGUUUUUUCACCCACAAAGAGAUUUUUAAAAAUUAGUUGUCAACAUUUAAAAAUAAAAAGAUUUCACAUUGAAAAAAAAAAAAAAAAA
RNAcentral lists this long non-coding RNA (1463 nucleotides) under Homo sapiens (human). RNAcentral's name for it is "TLE1 divergent transcript (TLE1-DT)". The record is from RNAcentral. Lineage: Eukaryota; Metazoa; Chordata; Mammalia; Primates; Hominidae.